UUCACAGAAACUUCAUCUCGGUUCUGCUUCCUGCGUCCCUUGUUGCAGGCAGAAGCUGCAUGCCGCGAGGCGGUGAUAACAAGUCUGAGAAGGUCUGAACCAGGGACAGAAAGACUUAAAAGACUGACUCCUGUCUCAGAAUAGAUACAAGCUGGGCUUUGACCUUUAGACCUCCCAGUAACAAAAGUAUGAGCUUCACCAUAAACACCAGAUGAGCAACAAGAUUAUCUUUUAUGGGUUUGCUACAGGAUGUUUCAUUCUGGGAGUGAGGUGAAAAAAUAGUUUAAAAUCAAAAAUGUCAGUGAGGUUUUGAAGAACAGAAAAAGGAGGCUCCUCAAACCUGUUACCUUCGUCCAAAGAGGGAUACCUGGAAAAGAGCCUGGUGGAUAAUCAGCUGAACACGAGGUCCCUGGAAAAUAGCCUGCUGCCGCCAUGGAAACUUACAUUUCAGUAGGAGUGCGCGUGCUUCUUUAAUGGCUGAAUGACUAUACUGUUUCUGAGGGUCCUGUGGCACC
This is a long non-coding RNA of Terrapene triunguis (Three-toed box turtle), 515 nucleotides long. RefSeq lists it as uncharacterized. NCBI's taxonomy places the organism in Eukaryota, Metazoa, Chordata, Testudines, Emydidae. The transcript has 3 exons. The record is from RefSeq and is a predicted model, not a curated record.